This 495-nucleotide ribosomal RNA is filed under the name uncultured bacterium. RNAcentral describes it as "partial 16S ribosomal RNA". It matches the Rfam family "Bacterial small subunit ribosomal RNA", at positions 28 to 507 of the family's 1533-position model. The record is from RNAcentral.
GACGAACGCUGGCGGCGUGCCUAAUACAUGCAAGUAGAACGCUGAAGGAGGAGCUUGCUUCUCUGGAUGAGUUGCGAACGGGUGAGUAACGCGUAGGUAACCUGCCUGGUAGCGGGGGAUAACUAUUGGAAACGAUAGCUAAUACCGCAUAAUAUUGACUAUUGCAUGAUAGUCAGUUGAAAGGUGCAACUGCACCACUACCAGAUGGACCUGCGUUGUAUUAGCUAGUUGGUGGGGUAACGGCUCACCAAGGCGACGAUACAUAGCCGACCUGAGAGGGUGAUCGGCCACACUGGGACUGAGACACGGCCCAGACUCCUACGGGAGGCAGCAGUAGGGAAUCUUCGGCAAUGGACGGAAGUCUGACCGAGCAACGCCGCGUGAGUGAAGAAGGUUCUCGGAUCGUAAAGCUCUGUUGUAAGAGAAGAACGAGUGUGAGAGUGGAAAGCUCACACUGUGACGGUAUCUUACCAGAAAGGGACGGCUAACUACGUG